UUGUGUAGUGCGAUGUGGGGACGGAUCUUAAUAGGUCAUCCGGGUGUUGGAUAUCCCGGUUUAGGCAGAUGUAGGCGACAGGUAGGCAAAUCCGCCUGUCAUAUACCGAGGCUGCCGAUCGAGCGAGCUUGCUCGCGAAGUGAUUGAACGAGGUUCCAGGAAAAGCCACUAAGCUUCAGCUACACACGACCGUACCGCAAACCGACACUGGUGCGCGAGAUGAGUAUUCUAAGGCGCUUGAGAGAACUCGGGAGAAGGAACUCGGCAAAUUGACACCGUAACUUCGGAAGAAGGUGUGCCCUAUUAGUGUGAAGUGAACAACGGAGCAUGAAUGGGUUGCAAAAAAUCGGUGGCUGCGACUGUUUAUUAAAAAACAGCACUCUGCAAACACGAAAGUGGACGUAUAGGGUGUGACGCCUGCCCGGUGCUGGAAGAUUAAAUGAUGGGGUGCAAGCUCUUGAUUGAAGUCCCAGUAAACGGCGGCCGUAACUAUAACGGUCCUAAGGUAGCGAAAUUCCUUGUCGGGUAAGUUCCGACCUGCACGAAUGGCGUAACGAUGGCCACACUGUCUCCUCCCGAGACUCAGCGAAGUUGAAAUGUUUGUGAUGAUGCAAUCUCCCCGCGGAAAGACGGAAAGACCCCAUGAACCUUUACUGUAGCUUUGUAUUGGACUUUGACCAGAUCUGUGUAGGAUAGGUGGGAGGCUUUGAAGCAGGGUCGCUAGAUCUUGUGGAGCCAACGUUGAAAUACCACCCUGGUGUGUUUGAGGUUCUAACCUAGGUCCAUUAUCUGGAUCGGGGACAGUGCAUGGUAGGCAGUUUGACUGGGGCGGUCUCCUCCCAAAGCGUAACGGAGGAGUUCGAAGGUACGCUAGUUACGGUCGGACAUCGUGACGAUAGUGCAAUGGCAUAAGCGUGCUUAACUGCGAGACUGACAAGUCGAGCAGAUGCGAAAGCAGGACAUAGUGAUCCGGUGGUUCUGUAUGGAAGGGCCAUCGCUCAACGGAUAAAAGGUACUCUGGGGAUAACAGGCUGAUACCGCCCAAGAGUUCAUAUCGACGGCGGUGUUUGGCACCUCGAUGUCGGCUCAUCUCAUCCUGGGGCUGUAGCCGGUCCCAAGGGUAUGGCUGUUCGCCAUUUAAAGAGGUACGUGAGCUGGGUUUAAAACGUCGUGAGACAGUUUGGUCCCUAUCUUCCGUGGGCGCUGCAGAUUUGAGGAAGCCUGCUCCUAGUACGAGAGGACCGGAGUGGACGCACCUCUGGUGUAUCGGUUGUCACGCCAGUGGCAUUGCCGAGUAGCUAUGUGCGGAAGAGAUAACCGCUGAAAGCAUCUAAGCGGGAAACUCGCUCCAAGAUGAGAUCUGCCGGGGCCUUGAGCCCCCUAAAGAGUCGUUCAAGACCAGGACGUUGAUAGGUCGGGUGUGGAAGCGCAGUAAUGCGUUAAGCUAACCGAUACUAAUUGCUCGUGCGGCUUGACCCC
This 1479-nucleotide ribosomal RNA is filed under the name metagenome. RNAcentral's name for it is "bacterial LSU rRNA". It matches the Rfam family "Bacterial large subunit ribosomal RNA", at positions 1446 to 2925 of the family's 2925-position model. The record is from RNAcentral.